Molecule: microRNA precursor, 93 nt
Filed under: Anopheles culicifacies
Lineage: Eukaryota; Metazoa; Arthropoda; Insecta; Diptera; Culicidae
Description: microRNA mir-598
Source: RNAcentral
UGAUGAUGGUGAUGAUGAUGAUGAUGGUGACCGCCAUCAUGAUCAUGAUGAUGAUGAUGAUCAUGAUGCUCAUCUCCACCAUGAUGAUGAUGA